This is a small nuclear RNA of Suricata suricatta (meerkat), 107 nucleotides long. NCBI's taxonomy places the organism in Eukaryota, Metazoa, Chordata, Mammalia, Carnivora, Herpestidae. The record is from Ensembl.
GUGCUUGCUUUGGCAGCACAUACACUAAAAUUGGAAUGAUGCAGAGAAGAUUAGCAUGGCCCCUGCCCAAGGAUGACAUGAGAAUUCGUGAAGCGUUCCAUAUUUUC